AUCAAGAUGGGUGCCAAGAACAUGCCCACAGUGUUUUUGCUGACAGAUGCCCAGGUUCCAGAUGAAUGCUUUCUUGUGCUGAUUAAUGACUUGUUGGCAUCAGGAGUCGUUCCAGAUUUGUCCAGUGAUGAAGAAUUUAAGGUCAUAGUUGCAGGAGUUAGAAAAGAAAUCUGAGCCCUGGGCCUGAUAGACAUCAGAGAACACUCCUGGAGGUGAUUCCUGAGACUGUGACUGCAGUAGAAACUAAUUCAAAGGACUGGAGUGGUAUCUUGUAUAUGCUUGUUCAGUUUCCAACAAAUUCAGGAAAAGGACCUCUGAACUUUGAUCCUGGACCCCUCUUCUUGCUGUCAGAGCCACUCGUGCAGGACCCCAUGGUUUAUGUGGAUUUCAUGGCUUCUGCCCACACCACUGUGAAUGUCCUGAGGACCAAGUACAAUCAUGACA
Ficedula albicollis (Collared flycatcher) is the source of this 444-nucleotide long non-coding RNA. RefSeq lists it as uncharacterized. The transcript has 4 exons. NCBI's taxonomy places the organism in Eukaryota, Metazoa, Chordata, Aves, Passeriformes, Muscicapidae. The record is from RefSeq and is a predicted model, not a curated record.